GAUGAACGCUGGCGGCGUGCCUAAUACAUGCAAGUCGAGCGAACAGACGAGGAGCUUGCUCCUCUGACGUUAGCGGCGGACGGGUGAGUAACACGUGGAUAACCUACCUAUAAGACUGGGAUAACUUCGGGAAACCGGAGCUAAUACCGGAUAAUAUAUUGAACCGCAUGGUUCAAUAGUGAAAGACGGUUUUGCUGUCACUUAUAGAUGGAUCCGCGCCGCAUUAGCUAGUUGGUAAGGUAACGGCUUACCAAGGCAACGAUGCGUAGCCGACCUGAGAGGGUGAGCGGCAACAGUGGGACUGAGAGACGAGCGAGAGUCAAACCGGAGGCAGCAGUAGGGAAUCGUUCGCAAAGGGCGACAGACUGACAGAGCAAAGCAGAGGGAGUGAAGAAAGUCUUAGGAUCGUAAAAAUCUGUUAUUAGUGAAUAACAAAAGUGUAAGUAACUAUGCACUUCCAGACGCUACCUAAUCAGAAGACAACGGCUAACAACAAU
Molecule: ribosomal RNA, 497 nt
Filed under: uncultured bacterium
Lineage: Bacteria
Description: partial 16S ribosomal RNA
Rfam family: Bacterial small subunit ribosomal RNA
Source: RNAcentral